AGUGAACGCUGGCGGCAGGCCUAACACAUGCAAGUCGAACGGAAGCACAGUAAUUGCUUGCUCUUACGGGUGGCGAGUGGCGGACGGGUCAGGAAUACAUCGGAAUCUACUUUUUCGUGGGGGUUAACGUAGGGAAACUUACUCUAAUACCGCAUACGACGUACGGGUGAAAGCAGGGGAUCUUUGGACCUUGCGUGAUUGAACGAGCCGAUGUCGGAUUAGUUAGUUGGCGGGGUAAAGGCCCACCAAGGCGACGAUCCGUAGCUGGUCUGAGAGGAUGAUCAGCCAGACUGGAACGGAGGAACGGUCCAGACUCCUACGGGAGGGCGCAGUGGGGAAUAUUGGGGAAUGGGCGCAAGCCUUAUCCAGCCAUACGGCGUGGGUGAGGAAGGCCUUCGGGUUGUAAAGCCCUUUUGUUGGGAAAGAAAAGCAGUAGGUUAAUACCGCGCUGUUCUGACGGUACCCAAAGAAUAAGCACCGGCUAACUUCGUG
This 492-nucleotide ribosomal RNA is filed under the name uncultured bacterium. Its description in RNAcentral is "partial 16S ribosomal RNA". It matches the Rfam family "Bacterial small subunit ribosomal RNA", at positions 29 to 507 of the family's 1533-position model. The record is from RNAcentral.